CCCCAGACUCCUACGGGAGGCAGCAGUGGGGAAUAUUGCACAAUGGGGGAAACCCUGAUGCAGCGACGCCGCGUGAGUGAAGAAGUAUUUCGGUAUGUAAAGCUCUAUCAGCAGGGAAGAAAAUGACGGUACCUGAUUAAGAAGCCCCGGCUAACUACGUGCCAGCAGCCGCGGUAAUACGUAGGGGGCAAGCGUUAUCCGGAAUUACUGGGUGUAAAGGGAGCGUAGACGGCAGGGCAAGUCUGGAGUGAAAGCCCGGGGCCCAACCCCGGGACUGCUUUGGAAACUGCCAUGCUGGAGUGCUGGAGAGGUAAGCGGAAUUCCUAGUGUAGCGGUGAAAUGCGUAGAUAUUAGGAGGAACACCAGUGGCGAAGGCGGCUUACUGGACAGUAACUGACGUUGAGGCUCGAAAGCGUGGGGAGCAAACAGGAUUAGAUACCCCGGUA
Molecule: ribosomal RNA, 446 nt
Filed under: uncultured bacterium
Lineage: Bacteria
Description: bacterial SSU rRNA
Rfam family: Bacterial small subunit ribosomal RNA
Source: RNAcentral